CCUACGGGAGCAGCAGUGGGGAAUAUUGGACAAUGGGGGCAACCCUGAUCCAGCCAUGCCGCGUGUGUGAAGAAGGCCCUCGGGUUGUAAAGCACUUUCAGUGAGGAAGAACGCCUGGUGGUUAAUACCCAUCAGGAAAGACAUCACUCACAGAAGAAGCACCGGCUAACUCCGUGCCAGCAGCCGCGGUAAUACGGAGGGUGCGAGCGUUAAUCGGAAUUACUGGGCGUAAAGCGCGCGUAGGUGGCUUGAUAAGCCGGUUGUGAAAGCCCCGGGCUCAACCUGGGAACGGCAUCCGGAACUGUCAAGCUAGAGUGCAGGAGAGGAAGGUAGAAUUCCCGGUGUAGCGGUGAAAUGCGUAGAGAUCGGGAGGAAUACCAGUGGCGAAGGCGGCCUUCUGGACUGACACUGACACUGAGGUGCGAAAGCGUGGGUAGCAAACAGGAUUAGAUACCCGAGUAGUC
This 464-nucleotide ribosomal RNA is filed under the name Vreelandella stevensii. RNAcentral's name for it is "partial 16S ribosomal RNA". It matches the Rfam family "Bacterial small subunit ribosomal RNA", at positions 338 to 795 of the family's 1533-position model. Lineage: Bacteria; Pseudomonadati; Pseudomonadota; Gammaproteobacteria; Oceanospirillales; Halomonadaceae. The record is from RNAcentral.